Molecule: ribosomal RNA, 464 nt
Filed under: uncultured bacterium
Lineage: Bacteria
Description: partial 16S ribosomal RNA
Rfam family: Bacterial small subunit ribosomal RNA
Source: RNAcentral
ACGAACGCUGGCGGCGUGCUUAACACAUGCAAGUCGAGCGAGGCCCCUCCUUCGGGAGGGUGUCCUAGCGGCAAACGGGUGAGAAACACGGGGGCAACCUGCCCUCAGCUCUGGGAUAACUCCGGAAAACCGGGGCUAAUACCGGAAACGACCUCCACGGGCAUCUGCGGAGUGGGAAAGUUUUUCGGCUGGGGAGGGGCCCGCGGCCUAUCAGCUAGUUGGUGGGGUAGGGGCCCACCAAGGCGACGACGGGUAGCCGGCCUGAGAGGGCGACCGGCCACACUGGGACUGAGACACGGCCCAGACUCCUACGGGAGGCAGCAGUGGGGAAUAUUGCGCAAUGGGCGAAAGCCUGACGCAGCGACGCCGCGUGAGGGACGAAGACCUUCGGGUUGUAAACCUCUUUCAGCAGGGACGAAGCGAAAGUGACGGUACCUGCAGAAGAAGCACCGGCCAACUACGUG